This 253-nucleotide ribosomal RNA is filed under the name uncultured bacterium. RNAcentral describes it as "partial 16S ribosomal RNA". It matches the Rfam family "Bacterial small subunit ribosomal RNA", at positions 524 to 776 of the family's 1533-position model. The record is from RNAcentral.
UACGAGGGGGGCAAGCGUUGUUCGGAAUUACUGGGCGUAAAGGGCUCGUAGGCGGCCAACUAAGUCCGACGUGAAAUCCCAAGGCUUAACCUUGGAACUGCGUCGGAUACUGGAUGGCUUGAAUUCGGGAGAGGGAUGCAGAAUUCCAGGUGUAGCGGUGAAAUGCGUAGAUAUCUGGAGGAAUACCGGUGGCGAAGGCGGCAUCCUGGACCGACAUUGACGCUGAUGAGCGAAAGCCAGGGGAGCGAACGGG